UGCAUGUCUCAGUACCUGCCGACCUAAGGCGAAACCGCGAAUGGCUCAUUAAAUCAGUCAUGAUUCAUUGGAUGUUGUAAAUCCUUACUCGGAUAACUGUGGUAAUUCUAGAGCUAAUACGUGCAACUAAGCUCCGACCCCGGUCGUAGUCUCGGCUUCACUGCCGUGGCUUUCGGUCGGGGGAAGGGCGCAUUUGUUAGACCAAAAAACCGGGUGGAAAGUAGGGUUGCCGCUUUUAUUAGCGGUUUAACUUCAAAAUCCUCCGUUACGGUUUUGUGGUGACUCUGGAUAACUACAGCCGAGCGCUGAGGUCUUUGUACCGGCGCCGUAUCUUUCGAGUGUCUGCCUUAUCAGCUCUCGAUUGUAGGUUAUUCGCCUACAAUGGCUGUAACGGGUAACGGGGAAUCAGGGUUCGAUUCCGGAGAGGGAGCCUGAGAAACGGCUACCACAUCUAAGGAAGGCAGCAGGCACGCAAAUUACCCAAUCCCGGCUCGGGGAGGUAGUGACGAAAAAUAACGAUGCGGGACUCUUCCGAGGCCUCGCAAUCGGAAUGAGUUCGAUUUAAAAACUCGGACGAGGAUCCAUUGGAGGGCAAGUCUGGUGCCAGCAGCUGCGGAAAUUCC
Molecule: ribosomal RNA, 623 nt
Filed under: Paraplatyarthridae sp. Ja244
Lineage: Eukaryota; Metazoa; Arthropoda; Malacostraca; Isopoda; Paraplatyarthridae
Description: bacterial SSU rRNA
Rfam family: Eukaryotic small subunit ribosomal RNA
Source: RNAcentral